RNAcentral lists this ribosomal RNA (676 nucleotides) under uncultured bacterium. RNAcentral describes it as "bacterial SSU rRNA". It matches the Rfam family "Bacterial small subunit ribosomal RNA", at positions 230 to 916 of the family's 1533-position model. The record is from RNAcentral.
CCCGCGGCCUAUCAGCUUGUUGGUGGGGUGAUGGCCUACCAAGGCGACGACGGGUAGCCGGCCUGAGAGGGUGUCCGGCCACACCGGGACUGAGAUACGGCCCAGACUCCUACGGGAGGCAGCAGUGGGGAAUAUUGCACAAUGGGCGCAAGCCUGAUGCAGCGACGCCGCGUGAGGGAUGACGGCCUUCGGGUUGUAAACCUCUUUCAGUAGGGACGAAGCGUAAGUGACGGUACCUACAGAAGAAGCACCGGCCAACUACGUGCCAGCAGCCGCGGUAAUACGUAGGGUGCGAGCGUUGUCCGGAAUUACUGGGCGUAAAGAGCUCGUAGGUGGUUUGUCGCGUUGUUCGUGAAAACCGGGGGCUUAACCCUCGGCGUGCGGGCGAUACGGGCAGACUGGAGUACUGCAGGGGAGACUGGAAUUCCUGGUGUAGCGGUGGAAUGCGCAGAUAUCAGGAGGAACACCGGUGGCGAAGGCGGGUCUCUGGGCAGUAACUGACGCUGAGGAGCGAAAGCGUGGGGAGCGAACAGGAUUAGAUACCCUGGUAGUCCACGCCGUAAACGGUGGGUACUAGGUGUGGGUUUCCUUCCUUGGGAUCCGUGCCGUAGCUAACGCAUUAAGUACCCCGCCUGGGGAGUACGGCCGCAAGGCUAAAACUCAAAGGAAUUGACGG